Molecule: ribosomal RNA, 505 nt
Filed under: uncultured bacterium
Lineage: Bacteria
Description: partial 16S ribosomal RNA
Rfam family: Bacterial small subunit ribosomal RNA
Source: RNAcentral
GACGAACGCUGGCGGCGUGCCUAAUACAUGCAAGUAGAACGCACAGUUUAUACCGUAGCUUGCUACACCAUAGACUGUGAGUUGCGAACGGGUGAGUAACGCGUAGGUAACCUGCCUGGUAGCGGGGGAUAACUAUUGGAAACGAUAGCUAAUACCGCAUAAUAUUAAUUAUUGCAUGAUAAUUAAUUGAAAGGUGCAAUUGCACCACUACCAGAUGGACCUGCGUUGUAUUAGCUAGUAGGUGAGGUAACGGCUCACCUAGGCGACGAUACAUAGCCGACCUGGGAGGGUGGUCGGCCAACCCUGGACUGGGACACGGGCCAGACUCCUACGGGGAGCAGCCGUAGGGGAUCUUCGGCAAUGGACGACAGUCUGACCGAGCAACGCCGCGUGAGUGGAGAAGGUUUUCGGAUCGGAAAGCUCUGUUGUAAGAGAAGAACGGGUGUGAGAGUGGAAAGUUCACACUGUGACGGUAUCUUAACAGAAAGGGACGGCUAACUACGUG